RNAcentral lists this long non-coding RNA (846 nucleotides) under Daucus carota (carrot). RNAcentral describes it as "long non-coding RNA (DCAR_LNC001640)". The record is from RNAcentral. Lineage: Eukaryota; Viridiplantae; Streptophyta; Magnoliopsida; Apiales; Apiaceae.
GGUAUGAUUUAAACUAUGCUUGAUUUUGCCUACUUGUUUUGUUAAUCCCAGUUAAAAUUACUCCCGUAUGUGUGGAGUGAACAGUUAGGUUUAUUCAGUUAGGAUUUGGAAUAAACUUGUUUCCCUCAGAAUGAAUUUAUAUGCAUUUUAGAUGAUAACUUUGAACCUUGAUUGAUUACCUGCACAAAUUGAAAUUGUUUCACGUAAAGUUUAUCUCCUUGUGCACUUGUUCACAUUAUAUAUUUGUUAUCACUAUCCUUUUUCACCAAAAUUUUAUGCCAUGUCCCUUUUGUCGAGGUUAACAAGUACUCCCUCCGUCCCAUAAUAAACGUCCUCUUUUUUUCAAGUUUUUUUCACGCAUUUCCAAGCUUAUAAAAAACAUACUUGUAGAUAUUAUUUUUUCGUGUUUUUUGUUUUGUAUAAAAAUAGGAAGUUCAAAUUUUAAUACAAAAUAAAAAAUACAAGAAAAUAAUGUCUACAAGUAUGCUUUUUAUAAGCUUGAAAAUGCGUGAAAAAAAUUUGAAAAAAUAAGAGGACGUUUAUUAUGGGACGGAGGGAGUAACAACUAGUCUAAAAAAGUUAGGGUUCGUUUUUUCAUAUAACAUAAUAGAUUAUUACCAUUUCCGUAUCCUUGUUAAAGAAAUCAUUACUUUGCUAAUACCACUGACACCUGGUAACUGACUACUAGCUAAUUCGUUUAAAUUACAAAAAAUAUUAAUUCUCUGUUGAAAAAUGAAUAGAUUAAAAUAAAAAAGAAGCAUUAAAUAUAUCCAUAAAAAUUUUGGAUUAUGUUAGAUAUAAAUGGAUAACAAUAGUAUUAAAGUUAAAUAUCACAUAGUACAUAAU